AAACAAAUAAAAUAAAAUCUUUAAAAAAGAGAGAGAGAGAACACAAGGGUGGGACUGAGAUUGUAUAAAUUGAAUACAGCCAGUUUGAAUGGAAGGGGAUGGAGAUGGGACAAAGUAAAGAAAGGCCGUCAGACUUGUUAGAUCCUAUAGGAUUGAGCCAUAGUGUUAUUAGGAUGUAAACUUACACCUUUCUUCAAGAAAGGGGAAGAAGGACCCCCGAAAGGCAAUUAAUUCAGAGAUCAUCCGGGCCACCAUUUUGGUUUUAACAGAUUGGAUAGGCCUCAACCAAAGUCUUGGAGAUGAGUCCAUCCUGCAAAGCCAUGGAACCAGAGAGCUCACAGCCUGGGGGUUGUAACGCAACCCAGCAGAGCCACAGAAGUGGGACAACUGCCCCCUCUGAACCAAAGAGGAUUGAUGAUUCUUGAACUUUAACAUCUAAUGAAAUUUGCCUUACUAGAUAUUGGACUUGCUGGGGACCCAUCUCCCUUUCCUUGUAUUUCUCCCUUUUGGAAUAGUAGUGUUUAUCGUAAACCUGUCCCACCAUGGUAUGGUGGAAGCACAUUAACCAGCUGUCUGGUUUCACAGGUUCACAGUUGAAAAACAAUUUUGCUUCAGGAUGAAUUAUACCUCCAGUUCUCACCCAUAUCUGAUUUUGAUGAUAUUGAGAUGACAUUCUGGAUUUAGGCUGUAGGGUUAAUCCCGGAACAAAUUAUGAUUUGGGGGGCUGUUGGGAUGGGAUGGAUGCAUUUUGCAUGUGUGAGGGAGAUAAAUGUGGGGGAGCCUGAAGUGUGAUGUUAUUGACUGAAUGCGCUCCCUCCUGUGUUUAAGCCCAAGCCCAGUGUUAUUUGGAGAUGGGGCUUUGGGAGGUAAUUGGGGUUAUGUAAGUAAUGAGAAUGGGCCUUCAUGACAGGAUUAGUGACUUCUAAUAGAAGAAGCACUCUCUCAAUACUUCUCUCUCACUCACCCCUCCUUUUUUCCCCUUAUCUCUUUCUUCCUUUCUCUAUCCCUCUCUGUGCAAGCACCAACGACAGGCCCUUUCUUGUCAGGACAUAGCAAGAGGGCAGCCAUCUGCAAGCCCAGGACGAGAACUCUCACUAGCAACCAAAUCUGCUGGCAUGCUGAUCUGCGGCUUCUCAUCCUCCAAAACUACGAGAAAAUAAAUCUCUGUUGUUUAAGCCACGCAGUCUAUGGUAUUAUGUUAUGGCAGCCAGAGCUCUCUAAGAUAGGAACCUGCUACCUCCACUGUUCCAGGACUUGGCUGCUUUCCAGAAGUGCUUAAGUAAACCUCUCUACAACAUCAAUUUUUUCAAAGUAUAUUCCAGCAGCUUCAAUUAAAAAAAAUGUUUUUGAAACACUGCAUACCAUGUGCCCCUCUUAUAUAUGAUGAAGGUAAAUAUCAGGGUGUUAAAGUCUGAAAAAUCUUAUCUGUUUAAUUUUAGUUUCCAAAUUUAUUUUAUUUGACCAUAGAAUCCCAUAACUUUCCAUGUCUUGUUUUUCCCUUCCCAUCCCUUCCCUUACUUCUUCCUAAAACAUAACACCUGUAAGUAUUCUGCUUAAAGAAUUUCAUGGAGCAAAAUUUAGUAAGAUCUAUUCCAAAACUUUCUAGUGAUGAUUACUCUUGAUCAUAUUUUGCUUUUCCUAAGAGUUGAUUCUGUAUACCUAGAUUAUUUGGUAUA
This 1676-nucleotide long non-coding RNA is filed under the name Canis lupus familiaris (dog). Its description in RNAcentral is "lncRNA (ENSCAFG00000055680.1)". The record is from RNAcentral. Lineage: Eukaryota; Metazoa; Chordata; Mammalia; Carnivora; Canidae.